UUACAUACUUUUUUAACUUAUUACUCCUUUAUUUUUCUAUUGUGGACACAUGUAUUUUAUCUGCAACGACUUUAUUUUGAACUAAUUUUAGUGCAACAAUGCACUCAUAACCAAAUUUUGCUCUCGGUUGCUUUCGUUUUUAUCAUUUUUAUUAUGUAUAUUAAUUUAUUUCCAUAAGUAUAUUAUUAUUAUUUUUCGACCGUCGCAUGUCCGCUACAUACACUCGUGUCUUUUCUUAUAUGUAUAUUAUUAUCUUUCGACCGUUUUUAUCAGCCUUUCCGAAAUUGUUUGCGUUCGAAUCUUGCUAUCUCGGUUGAUAACAGUUAUUUGUAUCACGGCAUUGCGAUCGCUCGUUUAUCUGUUAAUGACCGCCUAAGUCCCGUUUCGCCCGAGUGUGAAUUUUCUAUUCGCGUCGUCGGCUUUAAAUUUAUGUGCAGUAAUACAAAUGCAUCAUAACAUCAUGCUCUGUACAAUCUGGGAUUUCUCAACUUUCGACCGUGUAAUCGAGCAAUUGGUCAUCCUAACAACUACUGUAACUGUUCUUGAAGAUGCACCAUAUUUUGAGAGACGACCGACGUUUUGAAUUUCAAUGUUUGCUAUUACAUUGAUUAUGAAUUUGCGAUUCGUUCACCGUCUAAGUAGAUUUAUUUGUAUUUUUUAUCUCUUGCGUUGAAGAAGGCUGAAAGAUCAACCAAAACGUCCGUUUUAUGUUAUUUUGAUUAUGUUACAUUGAUUACUAUUAAAUUUUACGUGCUUUUA
This is a long non-coding RNA of Pogonomyrmex barbatus (red harvester ant), 759 nucleotides long. The record is from RefSeq and is a predicted model, not a curated record. Lineage: Eukaryota; Metazoa; Arthropoda; Insecta; Hymenoptera; Formicidae.